AUUGAACGCUGGCGGCAGGCCUAACACAUGCAAGUCGAACGAGUGGCGGACGGGUGAGUAAUGUCUGGGAAACUGCCUGAUGGAGGGGGAUAACUACUGGAAACGGUAGCUAAUACCGAAUACAAUCGGAUGUGCCCAUAUGGGAUUAGCUAGUAGGUGGGGUAAAGGCUCCCCGAGGCGACGAUCCCUAGCUGGUCUGAGAGGAUGACCAGCCACACUGGAACGGAUACACGUUCCAGACUCCUACGGGAGGCAGCAGUGGGGAAUAUUGCACAAUGGGCGCAAGCCGGAUGCAGACAUGCCGCGUGUAUGAAGAAGGCCUUCGGGUUGUAAAGUACUUUCAGCGGGGAGGCGUUACCCGCAGAAGAAGCACCGGCUAACUCCGUGCCAGCAGCCGCGGUAAUAC
RNAcentral lists this ribosomal RNA (406 nucleotides) under uncultured bacterium. RNAcentral's name for it is "partial 16S ribosomal RNA". It matches the Rfam family "Bacterial small subunit ribosomal RNA", at positions 30 to 526 of the family's 1533-position model. The record is from RNAcentral.